UGAGUAGAAGGGGGAAUAAGGUGAAAGGGGGAAUGGGUGAUUAAAUGAGUUAUGGUUGGUUGGAUGUUAGGGAGAGUUAGAUGGAUAAGUGUGGUAAUUGUAGAGGUAAUAGAUGAAGGUAGUGGGGGGAGGAGUGAUGGGAGGGGGGGUUUUAUUAGAAGAAAAGGAAUGGGUGGGGUGGUGGGUGGGUUGGGUUGGUGAGUGUGAAUAAGUUUGGGGUGAUGGGAGGGUGGGAGGAGGGGGGAGGGAUGUUUGAAAUGUGUGGGUUAUGAAGUUUGGAUGGUAGGUUGUGGGGGUAGGAUGGUUGUAAGGGGUGAGGGGGAAUGAGGGUUGGAUUGGGGAGAGGGAGGGUGAGAAAGGGGUAGGAGAUGGAAGGAAGGGAGGAGGGGGGGAAAUUAGGGAGUGGGGGGAGGGGGAGGUAGUGAGGAAAAAUAAGGAUACGGGAGUGAUGGGAGGGGGGGUAAUGGGAAUGAGAAGAGUUUAAAUGGUUUAAGGAGGAUGUAUUGGAGGGGAAGUGUGGUGGGAGGAGGGGGGGUAAUUGGAGGUGGAAUAGGGUAUAUUAAAGUUGUUGGGGUUAAAAAGGUGGUAGUGGGAGGUGUGUGUGGGAGGGUGGGUUGGGGGGUUGUGGGUGGUGAAGUGGGGGGUGGGGAGGUGGUGGGGGUGGGGGUGUAAAAGGGUGGGUUAUGGUUG
This 690-nucleotide ribosomal RNA is filed under the name Phenes raptor. RNAcentral describes it as "partial 18S ribosomal RNA". Lineage: Eukaryota; Metazoa; Arthropoda; Insecta; Odonata; Petaluridae. The record is from RNAcentral.